AAACGACUCUCGGCAACGGAUAUCUCGGCUCACGCAUCGAUGAAGAACGUAGCAAAAUGCGAUACUUGGUGUGAAUUGCAGAAUCCCGUGAACCAUCGAGUUUUUGAACGCAAGUUGCGCCCGAAGCCUUUUGGCCGAGGGCACGUCUGCCUGGGCGUCACGC
This 163-nucleotide ribosomal RNA is filed under the name Rhodanthemum gayanum. RNAcentral's name for it is "5.8S ribosomal RNA". It matches the Rfam family "5.8S ribosomal RNA". From Rfam's summary of the family: 5.8S ribosomal RNA (5.8S rRNA) is a component of the large subunit of the eukaryotic ribosome. The record is from RNAcentral. RNAcentral also lists the same sequence under 14 other names. Lineage: Eukaryota; Viridiplantae; Streptophyta; Magnoliopsida; Asterales; Asteraceae.